GAUGAACGCUGGCGGCGUGCCUAAUACAUGCAAGUCUAGCGAACGGACGAGAAGCUUGCUUCUUUGAUGUUAGCGGCGGAAGGGCGAGUAACACGUGGAUAACCUACCUAUAAGACUGGGAUAACUUCGAGAAACCGGAGCUAAUACCGGAUCAUAUUUUGAACCGCUUGGUUCAAGAGCGAAAGACGGUCUUGCGGUCACGUAUAGACGGAUCCGCGCUGCAUUAGCUAGUUGGUAAGGUAACGGCGUACCAAGGCAACGAUGCAUAGCCGACCUGAGAGGGUGAUCGGCCACACUGGAACGGAGACACGCUCCAGACUCCUACGGGAGGCAGAAGUAGAGAAUCUUCGGCAAUGGGCUACAGCCUGACGGAGCAACGCCGCGUGAGUGAUGAAGGUCUUCUGCUCGUAAAACUCUGUUAUUAGGGAAGAACAUAUGUGUAAGUAACAUUGCACCUCGUGACGGUACCUAAUCAGAAAGCCACGGCUAACUCCGUG
Molecule: ribosomal RNA, 497 nt
Filed under: uncultured bacterium
Lineage: Bacteria
Description: partial 16S ribosomal RNA
Rfam family: Bacterial small subunit ribosomal RNA
Source: RNAcentral